RNAcentral lists this ribosomal RNA (553 nucleotides) under uncultured archaeon. Its description in RNAcentral is "bacterial SSU rRNA". It matches the Rfam family "Archaeal small subunit ribosomal RNA", at positions 326 to 879 of the family's 1478-position model. The record is from RNAcentral.
CGGGGUGCACCAGGCGCGAAAACUUUACAAUGCUGGCAACAGCGAUAAGGGGACCUCGAGUGCCAGGAUACAAUCUUGGCUGUCGCGAUGCCUAAAAAGCAUUGCAUAGCAAGGGCCGGGCAAGACCGGUGCCAGCCGCCGCGGUAACACCGGCGGCUCGAGUGGUAACCGCUAUUAUUGGGUCUAAAGGGUCUGUAGCCGGCCGGAUAAGUCUUUUGGGAAAUCCAGCUGCUCAACAGUUGGGCUUUCAGAAGAUACUGUUCGGCUCGAGACCGGGAGAGGUGAGAGGUACUUCAGGGGUAGGGGUGAAAUCUUGUAAUCCUUGAAGGACCACCAGUGGCGAAGGCGUCUCACCAGAACGGAUCUGACGGCAAGGGACGAAAGCUAGGGGCACGAACCGGAUUAGAUACCCGGGUAGUCCUAGCCGUAAACGAUACUCGCCAGGUGUCAGCCACGGUGCGACCGUGGUUGGUGCCGUAGGGAAGCCGUGAAGCGAGCCACCUGGGAAGUACGGCCGCAAGGCUGAAACUUAAAGGAAUUGGCGGGGGAGCAC